RNAcentral lists this unclassified non-coding RNA (253 nucleotides) under uncultured Gammaproteobacteria bacterium. RNAcentral's name for it is "contains 16S-23S intergenic spacer region". It matches the Rfam family "Bacterial small subunit ribosomal RNA", at positions 524 to 776 of the family's 1533-position model. The record is from RNAcentral. Lineage: Bacteria; Pseudomonadati; Pseudomonadota; Gammaproteobacteria.
UACAGAGGGUGCAAGCGUUAAUCGGACUGACUGGGCGUAAAGGGCGCGUAGGUGGUAUGUUAAGUCGGAUGUGAAAUUCCUGGGCUCAACCUAGGGCGGUCAUUCGAUACUGGCAUACUUGAGUACAGUAGAGGGCAGUGGAAUUUCCGGUGUAGCGGUGAAAUGCGUAGAGAUCGGAAGGAACACCAGUGGCGAAGGCGACUGUCUGGACUGAAACUGACACUGAGGCGCGAAAGCGUGGGUAGCGAACAGG